This is a long non-coding RNA of Xiphophorus hellerii (green swordtail), 144 nucleotides long. RefSeq lists it as uncharacterized. NCBI's taxonomy places the organism in Eukaryota, Metazoa, Chordata, Actinopteri, Cyprinodontiformes, Poeciliidae. The record is from RefSeq and is a predicted model, not a curated record. The transcript has 3 exons.
UCCCAAAUGACUUCAAAGAAAUGUGAUUUCCUAAUUUAGCACCUUGAAAUCGGGCCUCUGUCUCUUUAAAAACCCCUGCUCUUCCUGAAACUCUGCCUCCAGGAAGUCAUCACAACAUGGCUCCUCUAUUAACCUCUUGGCAAC